GGCAAAAAACUUUACUGCCUAUGUAUGC
This 28-nucleotide non-coding RNA is filed under the name Mus musculus (house mouse). The record is from RNAcentral. Lineage: Eukaryota; Metazoa; Chordata; Mammalia; Rodentia; Muridae.